RNAcentral lists this ribosomal RNA (593 nucleotides) under Pseudomonas mandelii. Its description in RNAcentral is "bacterial SSU rRNA". It matches the Rfam family "Bacterial small subunit ribosomal RNA", at positions 92 to 681 of the family's 1533-position model. Lineage: Bacteria; Pseudomonadati; Pseudomonadota; Gammaproteobacteria; Pseudomonadales; Pseudomonadaceae. The record is from RNAcentral.
CGAGCGGCGGACGGGUGAGUAAUGCCUAGGAAUCUGCCUGGUAGUGGGGGAUAACGUUCGGAAACGGACGCUAAUACCGCAUACGUCCUACGGGAGAAAGCAGGGGACCUUCGGGCCUUGCGCUAUCAGAUGAGCCUAGGUCGGAUUAGCUAGUUGGUGAGGUAAUGGCUCACCAAGGCGACGAUCCGUAACUGGUCUGAGAGGAUGAUCAGUCACACUGGAACUGAGACACGGUCCAGACUCCUACGGGAGGCAGCAGUGGGGAAUAUUGGACAAUGGGCGAAAGCCUGAUCCAGCCAUGCCGCGUGUGUGAAGAAGGUCUUCGGAUUGUAAAGCACUUUAAGUUGGGAGGAAGGGCAGUUACCUAAUACGUAUCUGUUUUGACGUUACCGACAGAAUAAGCACCGGCUAACUCUGUGCCAGCAGCCGCGGUAAUACAGAGGGUGCAAGCGUUAAUCGGAAUUACUGGGCGUAAAGCGCGCGUAGGUGGUUUGUUAAGUUGGAUGUGAAAUCCCCGGGCUCAACCUGGGAACUGCAUUCAAAACUGACAAGCUAGAGUAUGGUAGAGGGUGGUGGAAUUUCCUGUGUAGCGG